This 490-nucleotide ribosomal RNA is filed under the name uncultured bacterium. RNAcentral's name for it is "partial 16S ribosomal RNA". It matches the Rfam family "Bacterial small subunit ribosomal RNA", at positions 30 to 507 of the family's 1533-position model. The record is from RNAcentral.
AUUGAACGCUGGCGGCAGGCCUAACACAUGCCAGUCGAACGGUAACAGGAAGACGCUUGCUUCUUUGCUGACGAGUGGCGGACGGGUGAGUAAUGUCUGGGAAACUGCCUGAUGGAGGGGGAUAACUACUGGAAACGGUAGCUAAUACCGCAUAACGUCGCAAGACCAAAAAGGGGGACCUUCGGGCCUCUUGCCAUCGGAUGUGCCCAGAUGGGAUUAGCUAGUAGGUGGGGUAACGGCUCACCUAGGCGACGAUCCCUAGCUGGUCUGAGAGGAUGACCAGCCACACUGGAACUGAGACACGGUCCAGACUCCUACGGGAGGCAGCAGUGGGGAAUAUUGCACAAUGGGCGCAAGCCUGAUGCAGCCAUGCCGCGUGUAUGAAGAAGGCCUUCGGGUUGUAAAGUACUUUCAGCGGGGAGGAAGGGAGUAAAGUUAAUACCUUUGCUCAUUGACGUUACCCGCAGAAGAAGCACCGGCUAACUCCGUG